This 73-nucleotide transfer RNA is filed under the name Paroedura masobe. RNAcentral's name for it is "tRNA-Gln". It matches the Rfam family "tRNA". Rfam says of the family: Transfer RNA (tRNA) molecules are approximately 80 nucleotides in length. Their secondary structure includes four short double-helical elements and three loops (D, anti-codon, and T loops). Further hydrogen bonds mediate the characteristic L-shaped molecular structure. tRNAs have two regions of fundamental functional importance: the anti-codon, which is responsible for specific mRNA codon recognition, and the 3' end, to which the tRNAs corresponding amino acid is attached (by aminoacyl-tRNA synthetases). tRNAs cope with the degeneracy of the genetic code in two manners: having more than one tRNA (with a specific anti-codon) for a particular amino acid; and 'wobble' base-pairing, i.e. permitting non-standard base-pairing at the 3rd anti-codon position. Lineage: Eukaryota; Metazoa; Chordata; Lepidosauria; Squamata; Gekkonidae. The record is from RNAcentral.
UAGGAGGUAGUAUAUUGUGGUAGUACAUAAAAUUUUGGAUUUUAAAGAGUGGGUUCGAGGCCCAGCUUUCUAG